CCUCCAACCAGGUGCGCAGGACGCGGGCGUGACAGACACAGAUAGGGUUGGGCAGGUCCUUCAAAACAUUAAACAUCUGUUUAAGCCCAUGCUAGAAAUCCACAAUGAGCCUCCCUAAAAGGGUCUCCCUCUGGACCAUGGUGGACGUGUUUGACUGGGUCAAGGAGAAGCACCCCUACCAAAAGAGUGUCCUCCAACUGGCCAUCGUGAAGCAUGACAUAUCCGGCCCGAACACUGCUGAUGAUGGGUGAGCACCAGUUGGAGAGGAUGGGGGUGAAGGGGGAGCAUCCUACGGGACAUUCUUCGCCUCAGGGUCCAGGAGAAACUGGAGAACAUCAACAUCUUCUCUGCUGAGGGAUUCUACAGUCUCCUCUUAAAGAGAUAGUUAGACAUUUAGGCAGUUAAGCAAUUUUGUAAUCUUACCCAGAGUCAAAUUAACUCAUGGAUAAGGGAGAGUGGGGUAAGUUGAGUCAAAAGGGUUAGUUGAGCAAUCCUUGUUUCUAGAAAACCAUUCACAAAAGUAAUAAUUUGACCAAAAUGUAGGAAGAGGUCAUCAUUUCAUGGAGUCUGAAGGAAGAAAUCACAUGGAAAAAAUGGUAAGCAAGUUAGGUCCAAAAAAUUGAUUUUCAACAAGUCAAAUGAAUUUAUUGUGUUAGAUGUUUCAUGAUGCUUGUAUCUAAACUAAAGUAGAUAAUUUUUAUUCUAUGCAUCAGUUGGGGUCUCUAUAAGCUUCAAUAUGAGGUCCUAAACCCAGCAUGAAAGUGCAUCCUUGUAGCUGUGUGGGAUUAUAGUCUAAAUGUUUUCCUUGGGGUACGUUGUGGCAAUGUUUGUGCCAAUGGCAAGUUUAGAAAAUGGAAGUGUUUUCUUCCCAGGCAUAAUAGAAGGCGUUAUCGCUGAGAUAUGAGGUACCAACAGGGCCUAGCCUAUAUUAAAAGUGCUUUUUUUUAAGUACAAAGGGUUUGGUAUUUGUUAAGCCUGUGUUAAAUGAUCCUUAAAAUUAUUAAAAGACAAAAAAAUGA
Molecule: long non-coding RNA, 1019 nt
Organism: Oncorhynchus masou masou (cherry salmon)
Lineage: Eukaryota; Metazoa; Chordata; Actinopteri; Salmoniformes; Salmonidae
Exons: 4
Source: RefSeq, a predicted model, not a curated record